Molecule: ribosomal RNA, 479 nt
Filed under: uncultured bacterium
Lineage: Bacteria
Description: partial 16S ribosomal RNA
Rfam family: Bacterial small subunit ribosomal RNA
Source: RNAcentral
GAUGAACGCUGGCGGCGUGCUUAACACAUGCAAGUCGAGCGAGAAGUUUUGAAAAGAUUCUUCGGAUGAAAUUUAAAAUGGAAAGCGGCGGACGGGUGAGUAACGCGUAGGCAACCUGCCCCAUACAAAGGGAUAGCAUUUGGAAACGAAUAUUAAUACCUUAUGAAACUUAACUAGUGCAUGCUAGGUAGGUCAAAGAUUUAUCGGUAUGGGAUGGGCCUGCGUCUGAUUAGCUAGUUGGUGAGGUAACGGCUCACCAAGGCGACGAUCAGUAGCCGACCUGAGAGGGUGAACGGCCACAUUGGAACUGAGACACGGUCCAAACUCCUACGGGAGGCAGCAGUGGGGAAUAUUGCACAAUGGGGGAAACCCUGGUGCAGCAACGCCGCGUGAACGAUGAAGGCCUUUGGGUCGUAAAGUUCUGUUCUAGGUGAUGAAAACUGACAGUAACCGAGGAGAAAGCCCCGGCUAACUCCGUG